AUAGAGCUACAUUACAAGUACUGUGAUUUUCUAAAAUAUGAGAAAUUCAUCGCUCCAGUUGCUGCUUCGUAUGGUAUCAAAUGUCAUCUUCCUGUUGGGACCUAUCGUUUCAUGAACAUGACAGUUCCUCUGGACAACUUUCCCGACGUGUUCCCUUUCGAGAAAGCGCGCACGGAUGUCACAUUUACCACCGCUAACGAGACCAUGGUCGUGCUACAGUUGUACGCCUCCUUCAGAAAUCAAGUUCCGAAGAAGUAAAUGCUACAAAAUAUCGAAAAGUGUUUCUUUAAAGCUAAUUAUUGCCAUGUAAAAACAUGUGUCUAUUUUUAAGCAGAAAAUACAAAAUAAUUCACGAAAAUCAAA
Melitaea cinxia (Glanville fritillary) is the source of this 363-nucleotide long non-coding RNA. RefSeq lists it as uncharacterized. The transcript has 2 exons. NCBI's taxonomy places the organism in Eukaryota, Metazoa, Arthropoda, Insecta, Lepidoptera, Nymphalidae. The record is from RefSeq and is a predicted model, not a curated record.